AACAUCGCCUGUGGUUCCGAAAGCGCCAAAGGAGUUGGCAGCGGCAAUGAAAGCAUCGUAUGUAUAGAAACCAUUGCCAGGGCAGUUAGCAUCGUUACGAUGCUUUAAUAUCUCAUUGAACAGGUCGCGGCUGAUAAGCGGACUGAUAUCAGCCAAGCCCCUUAAUGCAGAUGCCAAAACGAACAGAAUCAGAGCCAAGAACCUCAUUUUUUUUUUCUGCUUGGCUAGCUACUGAAGUGUUUUACGCGUGGGAUGUGGAGUCCCAUGUGAAGGAUCAGGCUGGUAUUUAUAGAGUGGGUCAGGAGAGAGAGAGAUCCUAACAAAACCUUAUUCUUCUUAAUAUUCUAGAGACGAAGGCGGCCUUUAUCUGUUAGGCUAAAAACCUCCAAUCCAAUCACACCAGCGGAAACGAAAUCAAACAAUAAAAUCAAACAGACAAGAGACAACAAUUUAACGUGGUUCGGUCCAACUGACCUAUAUUUACGGAUGAGAAACAAGAUUCACUAGUUGUAGAGAAUUACAAACUGACAUCAAAUCAUCAACCUCACUCAACAAUCAAUACUCAUAAGAUACUUUCAGUCUCCUCUAGUCCUAUUAAGUAUUCUCAAUCCAAACAAACCCAAACCCAAACCCAAACCCUUGUGCACCCUUUCAACAUAACCAAACACAUAACCAUAUGCUCCCAUACAUCAUACCUAUGUGGACCCUCUCAGUCUCCUUUAGUCCACUCAUAAAUAAACAUACACACCCAUAAGACGUAGAGCCCCAAUAUUUCUAUGGGGUGUCUAUCCCACAAAAUCCUAUAGCUCUCUUACAUCUUUUUCUCAUACCUAACCCUGUAGAGACUUCACGUAUUUAUAACCAUGCAAACUUGCCCAUUAAGAAUCACUCUCCUCUUAGAAUUCUUCUCCUGUAAGUCAAACUUGCCUAUUAAGAAUCCAUUUCCUUUUAGAAUUUUUCUCUUCUCUUGCAAGUCAAACUUACCUAUUAAGAAUCUUUUUUCUCUUAUAAUUAUUCUUUUGCAAGUCUUCUUGUCCAUCAAGCAAUAUCUGAAAAAUCUCAAACAAAUCGCAAACAAAUCUCUUACGAGAUUUGAGUCAUUAUUCCCAACAUUAUCAUCACAAAGUAGAAGUAUGAUGAUUGCUUGAAAGCUUGUAUACCUGACAAAUAUGAGAAAGGGCGAACAGGUAUCGUUCUUGGACCGUUUUCUUAGUCCAAGCUUAUCUUGACAUGACUUAACCAAGUUGGAAUAAGUUGAAAUUCCAUUUUGUUAGAAUUCAUAUGUUUUUGUCUCUGCAAGUGGCGUUGAUUGCAGAGAAAAUAUUCAAGCUGAGCAGCCCGAAAAAAGAAAACAAAUCUUAUCCUUGUCAGAUUACAAAAUUAAGAAAUAACAUGCAAAAACCUAGAUAGCUACGGAAGUACUUGAAGAAAAUGAGGCAGAGCAUCCAUUUUGGGAUAUACUUGAAGCUGGCCGGAUGAGUUUUAACACUAGUUCGACCGAUCUCUCCCUUACGAUAAUCUCCAAAUCCUGUUUUUAGAAUUAUAGAGCAAUUUUUUUUCAUAUUACUGUUUAGUAGUAAACAAAUUAAACAUAAAAAGGCCAAAAGUUUUUCAAUUUAUAUAUCUUCAACCAUCCGAUUCUUUUAGUAAUUGCUUCAUAAGAUAAUGGACAAGUUAGAAGAAAUAACUACAUAUACAGAAUAAGAUUUCUUCAAUUGAGAGUUGAAACAGAGAAUAUCAAAAUUAGUAGGGUUAAUGUGUGAUUGAGCCCUUGAACUAUAUUAUUUCUUAUGAUUUUAUACAUAAAAUCUAUAUAUAAAAAUUCGACCUCCAAAAGUAUUAAUAGCGAUAAACUUAAAUACCCCUAUAAAUUUUUAAAUUAACAAAUUCAUCCUUAAAUAUAUAGCUUUUAUUAAUUUAUUUAAAUUUAAUUUAAAUCAACUAAAUUUUCAAAUAGAGUUUAUAUAAAAUUAAACUACUUAGAAUAUUUAAAUUUUAAUUUCAAAAGUGUUACAAGUUAUUGUCUAAAUAUUUUUAGUAAAUAUUUUUAUAAAGUCUAAUAUAAAUAAAUUUUUUUAUUACUAGACUUCUUUUUAUAAUUAGACUUAAAAAGUGUUAAAAAUAAUUGAUUAAAAUACCAUGGGUAAUUUUUUUUUUAUAAAUUUUAAUUUAAAUGACUUUUUUAUUAAUUGACUUUUUUUUUUAUAAGUACAACGAUUUAUCACAUUAAAUGAAAAUAUAAAUAAAAUGAGAUUAAAACUUACUGUGAAUAAGAAUAAACAAUUAUAUAGAUUUUAUUUAUUUAAUUGUUGUACAAACAAUUUUAUAUAUAUAUAUAUAUAGUUUAUAUUGAUAACUAAAUUAAUUAAAAAUACUCAUAUUAAGUAGUUGAAGUGUAUUUGUUUUCUUCUUUUUUAUUUUUACCUUUCAAUUUUUUGUUCCAAUAUGUUAACUAUAUAUGUAUAUUAGUGAUUUUAUUAUUUAUAUGUUUUAUGAGUUGAUCAUUUAAUGAUUGAUAAUAUAAUUAAAUCUUUUUAGUCCCAUGAAAUAAUUCUUUAAUAUAUCAUUUUUACAAUUUAGUUUGACAUCUAUAAUUAAUGUCUCUUUUGUAUUUUUUAUCUCUAGAAUUUUAUAAUUAUUAUUCUUAUGAAUCAAAAUUAAUAUCAAAUCAAAUGCAAAUCAAUUGCAUCAUCUCUACCAACAAUUAACAUUAUGUGAUUCAUUGAACAUUUUAAUUAGACUUUUCACAUUUAGAAUUAGAUGAUUCAGGAGGUUGCACAGCUACUAAUAACUCAAGAUUGGAUAUAUGUCAUAAGAAUUCGAUCCGUUAAAUUGUCAUAUAAAUUAUUCACCUUGAUUGAAACAAUAAUUGACAAUUUUCUCUCAACUCUCAUCUUAACAUGCAUAUAUAUGACUAAUUUAUAUCUUAAGAUUAUUUAAUCUUUCUCAAUUGUAUUAAAUUACUUGCUUUUUUUUUUUUUUUUGCCAUCCAAGUGGUUAAAUAACCUCACAUGAAUUAUUCUAAACAAAAAAUUAUCAAAUGAAGUAAAAUUAAUCGUUUUUAGUAAAUUAUUUUGAAGUGUGACAAAAUUCAUUGGAAUUAUUUUUUUGAAAGUGUUUAUGCCAAAAUUAUAUUCAUUUGUGAACAUUUAUGUUGUUAAUACUGAAAAAUGAUAUCAUUAUAAAUUAUAUAGGUAUUACAUAGCAAGUUUAUUAUUUUUAGAAAUGAAAAUUUCUUAAGAAAACAUGACAAGUACCAAGAUUAGGAAUGUAUUUUAUUUUAGUUUUUAAAAUUAUGUAUUUUAAUAUUUUUAUAUAGUAAAAAUUUAUGUGUAAUAAAAUUUUUAGAUAAAAAAAUUAAACUUUCAGUUGAUAGAACAUAAAACUACAUUCAAUUGAUGGAAGUAUCUAUGGAAGAUUAUUGUAAGCUGAAAAAUUAGACAAAAAAUUGAUAGGAUGUGCAUAACUUUAUUUUUUUCAUAUGACGAAAAAAGUUAAUGCUAUAUGUUGUUCCAAUAUGAAACUCUUUUAUUUGGAGAAAUAUUGUGUACUCUAUUAUUUUCUCUUUUAUAUCAGUUGACGAAUGUUCGCUGUUAUAUCAAAAUUUUUAAAGUUGCCAUAUUAGGUAAUAUUUGUUCAAAAAAAUUGAAAUUCAUCAAGUUAAUUAUCACUUUACAUUUAAAAUAAAAAAUUAUUAUAAAUUAUAAUUUAACUAAACUUAAAAGUGAUUUAAAGGCAUUUAUUAGCAAAAUUCAUUCGAUAAAUCUUUAUUUAAUUAUGCAUUUAGUAUUUCAAUUAUUUUGAAUUUUGAAUUUUUAUAAUUUUGAGUUAGAUUUUAGACUUUUGAUUAGCUCCCAAUUAGGUUGAAUCAAGUUUUAUUAUUUACUUUUAUUCAUAGUAUACUCAAUUAUUCGCUUAUAAACCUGAACAAAUUUAACUUCAUAAUUGUUAUAUACUUCUUUUUGUUUAAAAAACUAGAUUUAUAUCAUUAUAAAUUUAAAUAAAAAAAGUAUAUUCAAUUACUUAUAAUUGUAGUUUCACUUUAGAAAUAAUCUUGAAAUUAAUUAACUAAUUCAACUAUAGAGACAAUAAAAAUUAACCGUUGAAGAUGAAGGGAAAAAACCUUAAAUAAGAAACUUUUAAAUUGUUAUGGAAGAUGAAUAAUUAAUUUUGGAUUUUGAUUGGGUUACUAUUUCAAUUCAAAUUUUGUUUAUAUUCAAUCAUUUUGGGUUUUAAAAAACUACUAAGUUGUUAACUUUUUAAAAUCAAUUGAAAUCAAAUGAAGUUAGUUUAUUUUUACAAUUAUAUGUAUAUUAUUUUUAAUUAAAUUAAAAAAUUAAAAUGAGUAAAAAUUUAAUUUCUAUUCUAUUUUAAUUUUAAAUUAUUUCAAGUUUGAGUUGAUUAAUCAAUGUUAUUUUAGUUAUACUUUUAUAAUAAUGGUAAUAAAUUUCAAAAUAUAAUGAUAACAUAACACAAUAAUAAUUUAAAUGUAAAAGUGAUGGAGAUUCUAUUGAUAAUUUUAGAAAAAAAAAAAAUCUUUAUAUCCAAGUUUUACAGAGAUUAAAUUAUGUAUCUUUUUUUGAGAAAUUUUAAAUUUAUAUUACAAAAAUGUUAAUCUAGAUCAACGUGUUUAUAAUCAUUUAUUUGUUAAUCAAGUUAUUGCUAUAAGAGUUGAGGAAAAUAAUUCAAAACUUGCAAAUGAAAGAGAUCAUAUCAUAAUUCAAACUCAAGCAUGAAGACAACAUAAAAUUAAACAUUAUUUGGGUUAUUAUGUCCCCAUAUAAUAUUCUUUACUCUUUCCAAGUGAAGAAGUUAAUUGCCAUCAAAACAUCAAAAGAGUUAUUUUGAAUAAUAAUAAUAAUAAGAAUGACACAACAAUUAAAAAUAUAUAAUCUUUUGAUUUAUUAGAAGAAAUUUUUUAUGAAAAAUGUGAAAUAUUCUUUACUUUUUCCAAAUUGAGAUGUUGAUUAGCAUCAAAAUAUUAAAAAAAAAAAAAGUUAUUUUGAAUGAUAGUAAUAUGAAUGAAGCAACAAUUAAAAAUAUAUCAUCUUUUUAUUUAAUAGAAGAAAUUUUUUAUAGAGAAUAUGAGAAAAUGAGAAAAUUAGCCACAAUCUCUAUAAAUUUUUUUGUAUGAUUAACUAUGGUUUAAAUAUUAUUUAAAAGAAAUAAAUUAUAUUUAAUGCAUUCUUUUAUUAAUAUUUAAAAGAAGACAACACAUUAAUUAUAUUUUUAAAAUAUAUAUUAUUUUAUUCCGUAUCAUUAAACCAAUCUUUUAAUGCAUAAAAAAAGGGACCAAUCUCUUAAAUGAAGUCGAAGAAAUUAUUGUACUUUUAUGUUAGCAAGGAAGUUUCCAAAGAAAGGGACUUUUUUUUUUUUUUUUUUUUUUUUUUUAAGGAAAUGGGAUUUAGAUAUUCUAAAUUAGCAUAAAUUAUGCGAUAAAAAUAUAAUAUACUAAAAAAUAAAAUUUAUGAUUAUUUUAAAUUUUAAAAUUUGUUAAAACUUUAUUUAAUUAACGAUGAAUUUGAAAUUCUAAACAAAAUAAAGAGGAAACUCAAACCAAUUUUCUUUUUAAUAUAUUAUCUGUAAGACAUAAGUAUAUUGAAUUUUAACUAAAUUUCACAAUUUUUAAUUUUUCAUUUUCGUAAUUUGUAAAUAUACAUAUCAAACCAUAUAUUUAAUCUGUCAAUAAACAUGGCAUAAGUGGAUUUUAUGUUAUAUUUUGACUUAGUCGUGUUGGAAACCCUUUCUUCAAAAAUAAAUAUUUGUUAAUGAAGUCUUGAUUUAAUGAUAAGAAAAAAAAUCUUAAAAUUUGAAGUUUUAAAUUUAAGUCUUUCUAUUUUAAUUGUAUAUUAAUUUAUUAAUUAAUUGUUUAAUAAUUACAACAUAAAAAAAAACUAAGAGAAUUAACACAUCAUAUCACCAAAAUAUUGAUCACCAAAUUAAGGACGAGCUCCUUUUAUUUAUUGAUAUUGAUAUUAUUCCAGAUCAACAUGGUAAAUAUCUCACAUACAUAUAUGAUGAUAUAUAUGUACUAGCAGCGGAUUUUUUUUUUAUUUUAAUAAUUAUAAUAAUGUGAUUGAUAAUUGCUUUUCUUUCAUAAUUAAUUAUUAAAGUGCCUAAGCAAAGGGCCUUUGAUUGUAGCAGUCGAGGUUGUUUCCGUAGCUCACUUUCAAUAUGUCACAAUAUCUCUUAUAGAAUCCGAUUCGAUCCUCAACCUGAGGGUUAGGUCCUUUGCCGCAUUCGAUGCCACCAUUGAUGAUGUUGGUAAUGACCCCAUAUCCAGGGACCCGACCGGCGGCCGUGUCUCCGGCGGAUGGCUUCCACUGACCAGUAAUGACAUCGUGACACGAAGGUUUUGGUGACUGUGGUGUCAUCCAGAACCAAAGAGCUGUCUUGAAAGAAAUGGUCGGGUCCCUUGCCACCGCAUCGGGGUCGUUCAGCAGAUCAACGUUUAUUGCUUUUCCUGCUGGACCAUAGUUGUAGUUGCUGCCAAAGUCAAGGUCAAGGUCAAGUCAAGAUAUAGUAAGGAUUUUCAUUUUUCAACAAGCAAUUUUCCCCCCAUAUUCCCAGCUUUUUAAUCCUAUCAUAUUUUAUUAUUUUAAGGGUAAAAUAUGUUUUUAAAUUCAACGAACUUUCUAUUAAAAAGAUUAAACACACUAUGCUUAUGUUUGUGAUUAGUCAAUAGUUAUGCAUGGAAAAUGAAAACCAAAUGAGCUAUAUAUGCUUGUUGUUUAACAAAAAUGCCUUAAUAGUAAUUUUCUUGGGUCAGAACUCUGAAUCUAGUUAAUUCACUCGAAACAAGUACACUUACAAUGAGAUCUGGAUUGGACCACGGCCAAAAUAUUUUUUACCCGGUGCACAAGGCCAUUGUUGACUUGCAACACAGUAAUCUCCAGGAUUGCCCUGUUCCCGAACGAAGCAAUAUCCCCAUGCGUAUGGACCAUCCGGUGCAGUUGCCCACCCACCUAUACAAGAAUUGUGAAGUACCCCUUUAAUUAUGCCGUCCAUUAACUAUUUGCCAACUAAAUAUUAAUGUCUGCCAACCAUUAACCACGCAUGCAAGACUAAAGUUAUGGAGAUAAUAGAGACAAUCAAGAAGUUAAUUUUUUUUAAUGAGAAAAAUGAACCUGUAGUUUCAUGGGAAGUUUGAGCCAAGAACGCAGCAAUUUCUCUUUUACGAGUAUCAACAUCGCCUGUGGUUCCGAAAGCGCCAAAGGAGUUGGCAGCGGCAAUGAAAGCAUCGUAUGUAUAGAAACCAUUGCCAGGGCAGUUAGCAUCGUUACGAUGCUUUAAUAUCUCAUUGAACAGGUCGCGGCUGAUAAGCGGACUGAUAUCAGCCAAGCCCCUUAAUGCAGAUGCCAAAACGAACAGAAUCAGAGCCAAGAACCUCAUUUUUUUUUUCUGCUUGGCUAGCUACUGAAGUGUUUUACGCGUGGGAUGUGGAGUCCCAUGUGAAGGAUCAGGCUGGUAUUUAUAGAGUGGGUCAGGAGAGAGAGAGAUCCUAACAAAACCUUAUUCUUCUUAAUAUUCUAGAGACGAAGGCGGCCUUUAUCUGUUAGGCUAAAAACCUCCAAUCCAAUCACACCAGCGGAAACGAAAUCAAACAAUAAAAUCAAACAGACAAGAGACAACAAUUUAACGUGGUUCGGUCCAACUGACCUAUAUUUACGGAUGAGAAACAAGAUUCACUAGUUGUAGAGAAUUACAAACUGACAUCAAAUCAUCAACCUCACUCAACAAUCAAUACUCAUAAGAUACUUUCAGUCUCCUCUAGUCCUAUUAAGUAUUCUCAAUCCAAACAAACCCAAACCCAAACCCAAACCCUUGUGCACCCUUUCAACAUAACCAAACACAUAACCAUAUGCUCCCAUACAUCAUACCUAUGUGGACCCUCUCAGUCUCCUUUAGUCCACUCAUAAAUAAACAUACACACCCAUAAGACGUAGAGCCCCAAUAUUUCUAUGGGGUGUCUAUCCCACAAAAUCCUAUAGCUCUCUUACAUCUUUUUCUCAUACCUAACCCUGUAGAGACUUCACGUAUUUAUAACCAUGCAAACUUGCCCAUUAAGAAUCACUCUCCUCUUAGAAUUCUUCUCCUGUAAGUCAAACUUGCCUAUUAAGAAUCCAUUUCCUUUUAGAAUUUUUCUCUUCUCUUGCAAGUCAAACUUACCUAUUAAGAAUCUUUUUUCUCUUAUAAUUAUUCUUUUGCAAGUCUUCUUGUCCAUCAAGCAAUAUCUGAAAAAUCUCAAACAAAUCGCAAACAAAUCUCUUACGAGAUUUGAGUCAUUAUUCCCAACAUUAUCAUCACAAAGUAGAAGUAUGAUGAUUGCUUGAAAGCUUGUAUACCUGACAAAUAUGAGAAAGGGCGAACAGGUAUCGUUCUUGGACCGUUUUCUUAGUCCAAGCUUAUCUUGACAUGACUUAACCAAGUUGGAAUAAGUUGAAAUUCCAUUUUGUUAGAAUUCAUAUGUUUUUGUCUCUGCAAGUGGCGUUGAUUGCAGAGAAAAUAUUCAAGCUGAGCAGCCCGAAAAAAGAAAACAAAUCUUAUCCUUGUCAGAUUACAAAAUUAAGAAAUAACAUGCAAAAACCUAGAUAGCUACGGAAGUACUUGAAGAAAAUGAGGCAGAGCAUCCAUUUUGGGAUAUACUUGAAGCUGGCCGGAUGAGUUUUAACACUAGUUCGACCGAUCUCUCCCUUACGAUAAUCUCCAAAUCCUGUUUUUAGAAUUAUAGAGCAAUUUUUUUCAUAUUACUGUUUAGUAGUAAACAAAUUAAACAUAAAAAGGCCAAAAGUUUUUCAAUUUAUAUAUCUUCAACCAUCCGAUUCUUUUAGUAAUUGCUUCAUAAGAUAAUGGACAAGUUAGAAGAAAUAACUACAUAUACAGAAUAAGAUUUCUUCAAUUGAGAGUUGAAACAGAGAAUAUCAAAAUUAGUAGGGUUAAUGUGUGAUUGAGCCCUUGAACUAUAUUAUUUCUUAUGAUUUUAUACAUAAAAUCUAUAUAUAAAAAUUCGACCUCCAAAAGUAUUAAUAGCGAUAAACUUAAAUACCCCUAUAAAUUUUUAAAUUAACAAAUUCAUCCUUAAAUAUAUAGCUUUUAUUAAUUUAUUUAAAUUUAAUUUAAAUCAACUAAAUUUUCAAAUAGAGUUUAUAUAAAAUUAAACUACUUAGAAUAUUUAAAUUUUAAUUUCAAAAGUGUUACAAGUUAUUGUCUAAAUAUUUUUAGUAAAUAUUUUUAUAAAGUCUAAUAUAAAUAAAUUUUUUUAUUACUAGACUUCUUUUUAUAAUUAGACUUAAAAAGUGUUAAAAAUAAUUGAUUAAAAUACCAUGGGUAAUUUUUUUUUAUAAAUUUUAAUUUAAAUGACUUUUUUAUUAAUUGACUUUUUUUUUUAUAAGUACAACGAUUUAUCACAUUAAAUGAAAAUAUAAAUAAAAUGAGAUUAAAACUUACUGUGAAUAAGAAUAAACAAUUAUAUAGAUUUUAUUUAUUUAAUUGUUGUACAAACAAUUUUAUAUAUAUAUAUAUAUAGUUUAUAUUGAUAACUAAAUUAAUUAAAAAUACUCAUAUUAAGUAGUUGAAGUGUAUUUGUUUUCUUCUUUUUUAUUUUUACCUUUCAAUUUUUUGUUCCAAUAUGUUAACUAUAUAUGUAUAUUAGUGAUUUUAUUAUUUAUAUGUUUUAUGAGUUGAUCAUUUAAUGAUUGAUAAUAUAAUUAAAUCUUUUUAGUCCCAUGAAAUAAUUCUUUAAUAUAUCAUUUUACAAUUUAGUUUGACAUCUAUAAUUAAUGUCUCUUUUGUAUUUUUUAUCUCUAGAAUUUUAUAAUUAUUAUUCUUAUGAAUCAAAAUUAAUAUCAAAUCAAAUGCAAAUCAAUUACAUCAUCUCUACCAACAUUAACAUUAUGUGAUUCAUUGAACAUUUUAAUUAGACUUUUCACAUUUAGAAUUAGAUGAUUCAGGAGGUUGCACAGCUACUAAUAACUCAAGAUUGGAUAUAUGUCAUAAGAAUUCGAUCCGUUAAAUUGUCAUAUAAAUUAUUCACCUUGAUUGAAACAAUAAUUGACAAUUUUCUCUCAACUCUCAUCUUAACAUGCAUAUAUAUGAUUAAUUUAUAUCUCAAGAUUAUUUAAUCUUUCUCAAUUGUAUUAAAUUACUUGCUUUUUUUUUUUUUUUUGCCAUCCAAGUGGUUAAAUAACCUCACAUGAAUUAUUCUAAACAAAAAAUUAUCAAAUGAAGUAAAAUUAAUCGUUUUUAGUAAAUUAUUUUGAAGUGUGACAAAAUUCAUUGGAAUUAUUUUUUGAAAGUGUUUAUGCCAAAAUUAUAUUCAUUUGUGAACAUUUAUGUUGUUAAUACUGAAAAAUGAUAUCAUUAUAAAUUAUAUAGGUAUUACAUAGCAAGUUUAUUAUUUUUAGAAAUGAAAAUUUCUUAAGAAAACAUGACAAGUACCAAGAUUAGGAAUGUAUUUUAUUUUAGUUUUUAAAAUUAUGUAUUUUAAUAUUUUUAUAUAGUAAAAAUUUAUGUGUAAUAAAAUUUUUAGAUAAAAAAAUUAAACUUUCAAUUGAUAGAACAUAAAACUACAUUCAAUUGAUGGAAGUAUCUAUGGAAGAUUAUUGUAAGCUGAAAAUUAGACAAAAAAUUGAUAGGAUGUGCAUAACUUUAUUUUUUUCAUAUGACAAAAAAUGUUAAUGCUACAUGUUGUUUCAAUAUGAAACUCUUUUAUUUGGAUAAAUAUUGUAUACUCCAUUAUUUUCUCUUUUAUAUCAAUUGACGAAUGUUCGCUGUUAUAUCAAAAUUUUUAAAGUUGCCAUAUUAGGUAAUAUUUGUUCAAAAAAAUUGAAAUUCAUCAAGUUAAUUAUCACUUUACAUUUAGAAUAAAAAAUUAUUAUAAAUUAUAAUUUAACUAAACUUAAAAGUGAUUUAAAGGCAUUUAUUAGCAAAAUUCAUUCGAUAAAUCUUUAUUUAAUUAUGCAUUUAGUAUUUCAAUUAUUUUGAAUUUUGAAUUUUUAUAAUUUUGAGUUAGAUUUUAGACUUUUGAUUAGCUCCCAAUUUGGUUGAAUCAAGUUUUAUUAUUUACUUUUAUUCAUAAUGUACUCAAUUAUUCACUUAUAAACCUAAACAAAUUUAACUUCAUAAUUGUUAUAUACUUCUUUUUGUUUAAAAAACUAGAUUUAUAUCAUUAUAAAUUUAAAUAAAAAAAGUAUAUUCAAUUACUUAUAAUUAUAGUUUCACUUUAGAAAUAAUCUUGAAAUUAAUUAACUAAUUCAACCAUAGAGACAAUAAAAAUUAACCGUUGAAGAUGAAGGGAAAAAACCUUAAAUAAGAAACUUUUAAAUUGUCAUGGAAGAUGAAUAAUUAAUUUUGAAUUUUGAUUGGGUUACUAUUUCAAUUCAAAUUUUGUUUAUAUUCAAUCAUUUUGGGUUUUAAAAAACUACUAGGUUGUUAACUUUUUAAAAUCAAUUGAAAUCAAAUGAAGUUAGUUUAUUUUUACAAUUAUAUGUAUAUUAUUUUUAAUUAAAUUAAAAAAUUAAAAUGAGUAAAAAUUUAAUUUCUAUUCUAUUUUAAUUUUAAAUUAUUUCAAGUUUGAGUUGAUUAAUCUAUGUUAUUUUAGUUAUACUUUUAUAAUAAUGGUAAUAAAUUUCAAAAUAUAAUGAUAACAUAACACAAUAAUAAUUUAAAUGUAAAAGUGAUGGAGAUUCCAUUGAUAAUUUUAGAAAAAAAAAUCUUUAUAUCCAAGUUUUACAGAGCUUAAAUGAUGUAUCUUUUUUUGAGAAUUUUUAAAUUUAUAUUACAAAAAUGUUAAUCUAGAUCAACGUGUUUAUAAUCAUUUAUUUGUUAAUCAAGUUAUUGCUAUAUGAGUUGAGGAAAAAAAUUCAAAACUUGCAAAUGAAAGAGAUCAUAUCAUAAUUCAAACUCAAGCAUGAAGACAACAUAGAAUUAAACAUUAUUUGGGUUAUUAUGUCCCGGUAUAAUAUUCUUUACUCUUUCCAAGUGAAGAAGUUAAUUGCCAUCAAAACAUCAAAAGAGUUAUUUUGAAUAAUAAUAAUAAUAAGAAUGACACAACAAUUAAAAAUAUAUAAUCUUUUGAUUUAUUAGAAGAAAUUUUUUAUGAAAAAUGUGAAAUAUUCUUUACUUUUUCCAAAUUGAGAUGUUGAUUAGCACCAAAAUAUUCAAAAAAAAAGUUAUUUUGAAUGAUAGUAAUAUGAAUGAAGCAACAAUUAAAAAUAUACUAUCUUUUCAUUUAAUAGAAGAAAUUUUUUAUAGAGGAUAUGAGAAAAUGAGAAAAUUAUCCACAAUCUCUAUAAAUUUUUUUGUAUGAUUAACUAUGGUUUAAAUAUUAUUUAAAAGAAAUAAAUUAUAUUUAAUGCAUUCUUUUAUUAAUAUUUAAAAGAAGACAACACAUUAAUUAUAUUUUUAAAAUCUAUAUUAUUUUAUUCCGUAUCAUUAAACCAAUCUUUUAAUGCAUAAAAAAAAGGACCAAUCUCUUAAAUGAAGUCGAAGAAAUUAUUGUACUUUUAUGUUAGUAAGGAAGUUUCAAAGAAAGGGACUUUUUUUUUUUAAGGAAAAUGGGAUUUAGAUAUUCUAAAUUAGUAUAAAUUAUGCGAUAAAAAUAUAAUAUACUAAAAAAUAAAAUUUAUGAUUAUUUUUAAAAUUUUAAAAUUUGUUAGAACUUUAUUUAAUUAACGAUGAAUUUGAAUUUUCUAAACAAAAUAAAAAGAAACUCAAACCAAUUUUCUUUUAAUAUAUUAUCUCUAAGACAUAAGUAUAUUGAAUUUUAACUAAAUUUCACAAUAUUUAAUUUUUCAUUAUGGCAAUUUGUAAAUAUACAUAUCAAACCAUAUAUUUAAUCUGCCUAUAAACAUGACAUAAGUGGAUUUUAUGUUAUAUUUUGACUUAGUCGUGUUGGAAACCCUUUCUUCAAAAAUAAAUAUUUGUUAAUGAAGUAUUGAUUUAAUGAUAAGAAAAAAAAUCUUAAAUUUUGAAGUUUUAAAUUUAAGUAUUACUAUUUGAAUUGUAUUUUAAUUUAUUAAUUAAUUAUUUAAUAAUUAUAACUAUAGACAUUCAAUUUGAUCUAGGUUCGGAUCAAUUAGGCCUGAUCCAAAUGGAUAGGCCCAUUUUUAUUUUUUAUUUUUAUUUUUUUCUCUAAAUUCUUAUUAUUUAUUAUUACUAUUAUUAUUUAUUAAUAUACAUAUAUAUUUAUUUAUUUAUUAACAUAUUAUAUAUUUUUUCUUAUUUAUUUUUAUUACUAUUUAUCUAUUAUUAUUAUUAUUAUUAUUUAUUAUGUUAUUUUUAUUUUUAUUUUUGUUUUUGUUUUUCUUUUUAUUCGGCUGGGAUUAGGAUAAAGAUUUAAAGUUCUACAGUGAAUUUGAAAUUCAAUUAGAGUCCAGAUUGGAUUAAAAGAUUGAAUCACAAUCCAAGAGGGAAUUAGGAUUGAUUAGAAUCUCUUCUGAUCAAUCCCUAUAAAUAGGUGUUGGAAUAGAACAAAAAAAGGACAUAGAGAAGAAGCAGAAGCUAAAAAAAGAUUUUGGUGCGUUAAAAUAGCUCUAGGAAUCGGUGGAAAGUUUUUUUAAAUUUUAGGAGAUUUUUUUUUUGGAAAUUUCUGAAAAAUUUCUAGAUUUCGGUUGAAUUUUUUGGCCAAGUUUAAAUUUUUCGAUGAAUUUUUUGGCACCGAUUGAAUUUUUUGGCUAGCUACUCAGUUUUUGGCAACUAUUUCCAAAAAUCGACCAACUUUUCGACGAACUUCCAACAAAAAAUUCAGAUUUUGGUGACAUUUUCCAGAAUUCGAUGAGAUUCAACUAGAGUUUUUUAUUUAUUUAGAGAGAGGAAUGAAGAAAGAAAGAGAAGAGAAAGAGAAAAAAUGAGAGAUUUGCGAAAAAAAACAAAGGUUAUAGCCUUUUAUACUUGCGAAAACGACGUCGUUUUGGCGUUACUGUUUCCAAAAGAUCGCACGUUUUGAAAUCGGGCGAUCCGACCCGAACGUUGACCUGCGUGUGACCCGAGUGCUAGCCCAACCCCGUAGUCGAGCCACCUUUUCUUCCUCAAGCCGAGCCGCUAAGCCGAGCCGUUUCAAGGUGUUUUUUUCAUUAUUUUAUUUUAUUAUUAUUAUUAUUAUUAUUAUUAUUAUUAUUUAUUGAUUAGAUUAGAAUUAUUUAGUAUUUUUAUUUUAUUUUUAUCUUUAUUUUUAUUUUUAUUUUAUUUUUUUCUUUAAAUAAAAUUCAAAAAAAAUAUUUUUAAGGAAAAGUUGAAAGUAUUAAUUUUUUUUGAAAAUAAGUUUUCUAAAAAAAUUUUUGAGAAAAAGUUGAAAGUAUCAAUUUUUCUUGAAAAUAAGUUUUCUAAAAAAUAUUUUUUGAGGAAAAGUUAAAAGUAUCAAUUUUUCUUGUACGAAAGCAAUGCGUUUUUUUUUUUAAGAGAAAAAUAUUUAUAUUUAAAGCUGAAUCAUUUUUUUUUUGUUUUAUUUCUUUUUCUUUUUGUUUUCUCGAAUUUUUUUAAUGUUAAAUAAUCCGAUGAUAAAGCUUCUACAAGUGAAACAAUAGUCUCCUUACAUGCUCUUGAGGUGAGAGAAUUUUUUUAAUUUUUUGCUAAAAGUAUUAGAGUUAAUUGAGAAUAAUUUUCAAUAGUUAAUUACUUGUUAAAUUUUUAAAGCUUAUUGGAUAACACAAAAUUAAGCUGGUACUAUCUUUUGAUGGGCAUUGUGAAAGUGCUAUAACAUUUCUUACACGUAACCGAACUCCCGAACCAUGUUUUGGUUAGUAAACCUGAACCUAUUCUUUUAGGGACCCUUAAACUUAGGUGUUCCUUGAAAGGAUAGAUUCCUUAGGUGACCAAUCGCACAUAGAUAAAAAAGAUUGGUGGCGACUCUUUAAGUUAAUGUCUAGCGAUGGAUCCCCAGAUCUAUACGUUAUGAUAACUUGGCGACUCCACUGGGUACGUCUGAGAGUUAGGCCAGCAAAUAAAUUUAUGUUAUCCAAAAGCCUAAUAAAAUUGAACCUUUUGUAUAGAUUUUUUUAUUCAUUCAUGUUUAUUUACUUUAUUAAUUAUGUCAUUCAUAUGCAUAUGCAUAACAUGAGCUCCAUACUUGAGCUCCGUCCCUCUAUAAGGGAGUAAAGUACCUAUUGUUUUCGUGAGAUUUAAUGCCUCCGUAGUGGCUAGCGAAAUACUUCCACUCAAAUUGAACCUUUUCUGCUUGUAGCCUAUAAUGGGUGAGGAUUAGGCUGCCUUACUAGUCUGUGAUGGACAAUGAUGUAAGGAGCAAUUUGGAAACCUUUAGACUUUAACCUCAAACCACAUAUAGUGAACCUUAAGAGUGCCUAACCUAUAGAUAGAGCCAUCAUUCUUCUCUUUUAGAAUUGAUCAAAAGCAUAGGGUUCAUUCCUCUUUGUGAUGUUUUAAUUUACUUAGUUAUCUAUUUAUUUUUUUUUUUUGGGUAUACUAACAUUUUCUCUCAUUUUUUUGCAUUGGUUCAUGCUCAUAUCAUAAAGUUGCAUAAAGAACAUUUGCUUGAAAGAGGGUCUUCAAAAAAAAUUUUUCAUGGACUCCACAGAAUGACUAGUUUAUUCUUCAUUUGUAUUAGCACCCUGUGAGUCACCCAACGAAGUAAGGAUCCAGUCAGAAAAGAUUCAACUAAAGAUGGAGGAUUGUUUACCAAUCAGAUAUGAUUCUACCUUAUCUCAAGAAACAUCUAUCCUCCUCAAAGAAAUUAAUUUAGAAGAUUUGGUUGAUAUAUGAAAGAAGAUGAGUCCAUCAAGACAAGAGCAGUUUUGCCAGAGACACAAGCAUAUAACACACCUUUUCGUAGUAGUUGUCGACGAUCAACUAAUUAGAGCUGCAGUCUAAUUCUGGGAUCCUGCAUACAAGUGUUUCAUCUUCAAUAAAGUUGAUAUGACACCAACCAUUGAAGAAUAUUCGAUUUUAUUGGGUUUGUACCUUAAGGUUCCUGAUAAGAUAUAUGUCAAAAAACAUAAGUCAAGAUUUCGUAAGGGUUUGGCUCAACUCAUAGGGAUAGACAAAGAAGUUGUGGAUUCUCAUACAAAGAAGAAACAAGAACAAGUUUGCCUACUUUGGAAGUUCUUUCAUGAGUUUCUAGUGCAACAUGCCAAUAAAUAAUGGGGGUUAGAUGUAUUGGCCUUAGCUAUAUAUGAAAUGGUGAAAUUUCCAAAAGUUUUGGGUUAUAUUGAGAUAGCGAUGGUUGACUUCUUCGAGAGUGUGAUCAAUGGUUGUAACCUUUCAAUGGUAAUAUUAGCAGAGACUAUCAGACCCUUCAACAGUAAUUAUGAACCUAUGUUGUAUCAGUAUGGGGAUAAUACAAUGGUCCCAUUUUUAGGUUUAUGGGAGCGACAAAUUAUGCACCACUCCUCGUGAGAAGGCAUUUUGGGGUAAAACAUUUCAUUCUUAUGAUGCAUAGGCUUCAUCAGUUAGAUUUCUCUUACAGUGAGCCAAAAGCAUUUCAGAGGAUGAAUGAGAUAUUAAAGCAUGGAAAAAUCCUCGAAUAGUGAGUCUUAGAUCGUUUACUGAUAAAGUCACUCUAGGGUAUUUGGUUUGGAGAGCAAAACGAAGAUAAAAAAUGGUAUUCACUUAUGAAAGCUUUCAACCACCAAUAAGAGGAAAGCUUGAAGAGACACCAUCAGAAUUAGAGCUUGUGAAAAAAGAGUUGGAGUCUGAAAAUGAUAAGUUAAAGUAAGAAAUCUAAAAGCUUCAAUAACAAAAAGAUCAGUGGAAAGAUAGAGCUGAAAGUCAUGAAGCCAGAGUUUGCAAGAUUGCUAGAGAACGUGAUAUAGCUAUUGAAGACUUAGCAGAGCUACACUAAGAACAUAAAAGGUUAUGUGUGAGAGAAAGGGCCGAAAAGAUAACCAUUGUUGAGCUAACAGAAGAGAAUGCAAGAUUGAAGCAAGAAUAUGCUAAAUUGGAAGAAGAAAGUACCUAAGUACAGACAAAGAAUAACAUGCUGAAUAGCUAUCUAAACAGGCUGAGACAAAAGUUGAAUGAACAAGAAGACCAUAUUGCUGCAUUAGUUAGAGAGCAUAGAGAGUUAUCAUACCAAGUCUAGUGUGGUAAAAAAAAAAACUUAGAAAGAUAGAAAUACAUUGAGCACCUAACGACCCAAAUUUGUAAAGAGGUAUGCAAGGUAAGAGAGAUGGUGAAAGAGACAGAAGCAUUGAAACAAGUGGUGACCCCAGUAAGAGAGCAUGUGCAACGUCUAUUAAACUUCAUUGAAGAAGCUAAGGCCUAGUAUGAAUAGAUCAAACAAUUUUAUAGUUAUAAUUUUAUGAUGAUAAACUCAAUAUAAAUAAAAGUUUUUUUGGAAUAAAUGAAAUCUUUUAGUUAAAUACCAUCUUAAGGUAAAUGUUCUUUGUAUACAUGUAUUUUCAUUCAUUGCAUUCUCACUCAUUACACUUAAGAAAGUAACUAUGAGAUAGUCAUAUAAAUUUGUGAAUUCUAAGAUAUGGUAUUCAAGGUUCAAGGAUAGCUCCAUCUAGCAAGAACCCUAUCCAUCGAUAUAACACAAAAGCCAGAGCCAGAUAAAUGGACAAGAAAAUUCUCAUAGAUUUGAAAAGUUGGAGAAAGCACAAGAAAAGAUUGAGAAUAAGUUGAGCAAGAUUCUAGAUGCUCUCAAUAAGCUGAACAAGGGAAAAAGAAUAGAAAAAAACAUAAGCCAACAAAGCCCUCCAUCACAAAAAGUGGCUGACUUUUUGUAUCCUUUAAGUUUUGGUCCACCUCAAGCCUAGUCUACACAAGAGGUCCCACCACAACACUUCGCAUAUCUUACAUAUUCUAGAAUGCCAUCAGCCUCAAAUCCAGGACAUUACCAUAGCUAUGUAAAUCCUGUCUUUACUAAAAAGGCAGUAAAACUGAUUCUUGAUCUAGAUGACUUACAAAAUAAGGAGAAAGAAAAAGUAAAAGUGACAGAGUCUCAGGAAGAUCUAAAGAUUAGUAUGCUUGAACAAAAGUUACGGGCUGUAGAAGAGAUUAGAUUUUAUGGUUCUGUUGAUGCUGCUGGACUGUGCUUAGUCUCGGAUGUAGUCAUUCCAGCAAAGUUUAAAGUACCAAAAUUUAAAAAAUAUGAUGGUAUGAAGUACCCCAAAACUCAUAUCAUCAUGUGUUGCCUGAAGAUGGCAGCCUAUGCCCGUAAUGAAAAACUAUUAAUGCAUGUUUUUUAAGAUAGCCUUACCGACUCUGCUGCCAGGUGGUAUAUCCAUAUGAACAGAACCCGCAUUCAUUCUUGGAGCGAUAUGGCUCAUGACUUCAUCAGUCAAUAUCGACAUAUUAUCGAUCUGGCUCUUGAUCGUUUAUCUUUAUAGAACUUGAAGGAAAAGGUAAAUAAGUCUUUUAAAGAAUACGCCCAGAGAUGGAGAGAUGUAGCUUCUCAAGUAUAACCUCCUCUGACUAAGAAAGAGACUACAGUGUUGUUUGUCAGCACUUUGAAAUCUUCAUAUUAUAAGAAGAUGAUAAGGAAUGCAAUAAAAAAUUUUAUUGAUACGAUAAUUUCGAGAGAAAUUAUGAAGAGUGCCAUCAAGAAUAGCAAGUUGGAAGGAGGUGAAGCAUCCAACAAAAGAAUCCCAAAGAAGAAAGAGAUUGAAGCUCAGGCUAUGAAUUUUGGUAUACAGUAAUUUGGGGGUUAUCAACCUUACUCACUACAAGGAUACCUUUCAUAUUACCCUACUAUAAAUAACACUUCUCUUUACCCAUACCAACCAUUUGUACAAUUAUCUUAUCUCUAAACAUAUCAACCUCCUCUUAGGCCUCAAAAUACCACAUAUAGUCCUAGCAUUCAGCCUACCCUAAGACCCCAAACUCUUCCAACUAGCCCAAUUAGUGGUUCACGAGAGUAACGAACUACUCACGAAAAAUUUGUAUUUGACCUAAUCUCAAUGACCUAAACAGAAUUAUAUCGUGAGUUUUAUAACAGUCAUCUGAUUACUCCAAGUAAAUUAGAGCCCCUCAAGCCACCUUAUCCUAAGUGAUAUGAUCCCACAGCCUAUUGUGACUAUCACUAUGAGAUUGUUGGUCACUCCACUAAAAAUUACAUCGUCUUGAAAUAUAAAGUACAAUGGUUGAUCAAUGAUGAAAUGAUUAGUUUUGAUAUAACAGGGGUGACUACACCAAAUGUUAGUGAUAAUCUUUUACCUAAUCAUAAUGUCAAUGUUUUGAGUAAAGAACAUGAGUGCCAUUUGAAGAAAAAACGGUAGACAUUAAGACACCUUUCAGUCAACUGUUUGAUAUUUUAUGAAAAGCUGACAUGAUACAACCAGUAAGUUCACACAGCUAUCAUGGAGUAUAUAUAACCGACACUAGUUGUAAAUAUCAUAGUGGGAAAAUAGGUCACUUUAUUAAAACUUGUGAGCAGUUUCACUAAGAGGUGCAAAAGCUCUUGGAUUCAUAUCAGAUGGAGUUACACGAAAGAGGAAAAGAUUUAAAAAAUGUUGAAGUGUCCAUGACUGAUAAGCCUGCAAAGCUGUUUUCAAAGCCAGUGAUAAUUCAUUGUAAGAACAAGCCAAAGUCAAUCAUAGACAAACUCAUUCCCAGGUCGAUAACUUUUAAAGUUCUGACUCCCUUCCUAUAUAAGGAUGACAAAGUUGUACCCUAGAAAUAUGGUUACGAUACAGUAGUUCAGAGGCAAGAAGGGGAUAUCUCUAAAGUUGAUGCCUUCAAUAUAACUGGUGUAAGAGGCAUUACCCGAAGUGAAAGGUGCUACACUCCAAAAAUAUUAAAGAAGGCUAGAAGAGAGAAAGCCAAAGAAAGAGAAGAACGAAAUAACUCUAAAGUAAAACUUGAGAAAGAUCGCCCGAAGCUAGUGUAAAAAAAAAAGCUUAUGAAUUCUUGAAGUUAGUAAAAUAUAGUGAGUAUUCAAUUGUUGAACUGUUGAACAAAAUGCCAGUAUGAAUCUCAUUACUAUCACUAUUUUUAAAUUCAGAGCCACACUGAAAUGCCCUGCUGAAAGUAUUAAAACAGGCAUAUGUGUCACAUAAUAUAUCUGUUAAAUAUGUGAACCAUCUGGCUAAAAAUCUAGUCAUGUCAAAUUAUAUUUUAUUCAGUGAUGAUGAGAUUCUUUUAGAGGAAAAAGAAAAUACCAAGGCUUUGCAUAUCACGAUCAAGUACAAGAGCCAUAUCAUAACCAAGGUCCUUAUUGAUAAUGGCUCCGUUAUCAACAUCAUGCCUAUGUCAACUUGGCAAGGUUACGCAUUGACUACUCUCAUAUGAAAGACAGUCAGAUGAUCGUGAGAGCUUUUAAAAGGACUAGAAAAGAAGUCUUGAGAGAUAUCGAAAUGUCUUUACAAAUUGGGCCGUGCACUUUUAAUGUGAAGUUUCAAGUGAUGGAUAUCUCUUCCUCUUACAACUGUCUACUGGGAAGGUCAUGGAUUCAUAUGACAGGCACUGUGCCCUCUACCUUGCACCAAAAGAUCAAGUUUAAUGUAGAAGGUCAAUUGGUAGUCGUAGUUGAAGAAGAAGACAUGCUAGUGACCCAACCGUCGAAUGCUCCGUAUGUAAAGGCUAUCGAAGAAGCAGUAGAAUACUCAUAUCGAUCUUUUGAAUUAGUUAAUUCUGUAAGUAAAAGACUUAAAAAUCAAUCUUUUUCAAGAAUAGUGAUGAGCUAAGUCAUCAAUAAGAGUUGGUAUCCAAGAUUAGGGUUAGGCAAGAACUUGCAAGGAAUAAAAGAACCCCCGACAGUGGUAGAUAAUAGUGAAAGAUUAGGCCUAGGCUAUGAAGUAGCAGAAUGAGAGAUCAAGAGAAGGCCAGCAGGUAAAAUAGCAAGAGUAAUGGUUAUUCCACACCUAUAUGAGACUUUUAAACUUGUAGGAUUCAUGCACCCAGAUACAAAAAAAAACAUAGAAAAAGCUUUUGCCCAGUUAACCAUUCAUGCUAUCGAAGAUAAAGUGGGGCUUAAUCAAGAAGGGUGGGUCCAUCUUUGUCCGCCAGAUUAUGAGCUGAACAAUUGGAGUGCCAUUGAAGUACCUUUGACCUUUGAAACUAAUUCAAUGUAAUUGUAACAUCCCAAUAGCUAUUGCCCAAGGCAUUGGGAUGAUCUUUUUUUUUUUUGGGUCAUUUAUCGUUUAUUAUUCUAAUAAAGAUUAGGAAGGAUACAUUUUCAUUUAUUUUUUCUUGUGUCUUCAUUAUUGCCACUUUUCCAAAUACAUCUUACUAACAUAUCCCAUUUCAUCCAAUUUCAAAUCCUUAAAUGAACAUGAAGAUAAUUAUGAUAACAAUCAAGAGGUUAGUUUUGAGAAUUCAAUUAACAUUGAUGAACUUGACAAUGAAGAGAAUUCUGAAGAAUAUGUUAUGCCUCCGGACCUAAUGAGAUUGAUUGAACAAGAAAAUAAGUCAAUUGAGCCUCAUCAGGAGAUAGUUGACUUAGUAAAUCUGAAAGAUAAAAAGAAUAAGAAAGAUGUCAGAAUUGGCACUUCACUUUCAUCAGAAGAUAGACAACGUUUAGUAGAUCUAUUUCAAGAAUUCAUAGAUGUAUUUACUUGGUCUUAUCAGGAUAUGCCAGGGCUGAGCACGGAGAUAGUAGAGCACAGAUUACCCCUAAAGUCAGAAUAUAAGCCGGUUCAGUAGAAAUUGAGGUGAAUGAAGCUUGAAAUACUACUAAAGAUAAAAAAAUAAGUGAAAAAAUAGUUUGAUGCAGGUUUUCUACAAGUGGCUAAGUAUCCAGAAUGGAUAGCCAAUAUAGUAUCAAUUUUUAAGAAAGAUAAAAAGGUACAAAUGUGUGUGGACUAUCAUGAUUUGAAUAGAGCUAGUCCAAAAGAUAACUUUCUUUUAUCUCAUAUUGACACACUGGUAGAUAACAUGGCUAGGCAUUUAAUUUUCUCCUUAUGGAUGGUUUCUCAAGAUAUAAUCAGAUAAAAAUGGUUACAGAUGAUAUGAAAAAGACCACUUUCGUGACUAUGUAAAAAUUUUUUUAUUACAAAGUCAUGUCUUUUGGGUUAAAGAAUGUUGGGGUAACAUAUCAAAGGGCUAUGGUAACACUCUUCUAUGACAUGAUGCAUAAAGAGAUUGAAGUGUAUAUAGACAAUAUGAUUGUAAAAUCUUACAAGAAUGAAAAUCAUAUCACCAGCCUCAAAAAGUUAUUUGAGAGAUUGAAAAGAUUCCAGCUUAAGUUAAACCCAGUCAAGUGCAUCUUUGAGGUAAAAUCAGAGAAGUUACUAGGCUUCAUGGUUAGUGAAAGAGGAAUUGAAGUCGAUCCAAACAAUGUACGACCAUUCAAAAUUUGUUACCUCCAAGUACACCAAAGAAAGUUCGAAGUUUUUUGGGAAGAUUGAAUUACAUUUCUCGAUUUAUCUUUUAGCUUACCUAUAAAUGUGAUCCCAUAUUUAAUCUUCUUCGCAAGAAUAAUCCUGAAAAAUGAGAUGAGGAAUGUCAAGUGGCUUUUGAUAAAAUUAAAUAAUACUUGUCAAAUCCUCCAGUGUUGGUGUCACCUGUUCUAAGAAAACCUUUAAUUUUAUACUUGACAGUGUGUGAGAAUUCAAUGAGAUGUGUGAUGGGGCAACAAGAUUAGUCUAGCUGAAAGGAAAGAGCUAUUUACUAUAUGAGUAAAAAAUUCACAGAAUAUGAAUCCAAGUAUUUCUCAUUAGAGAAAAUAUGUUGUGCAUUAGCGUGGACUGUCAAAAGACUCAAACAGUAUAUGCUUUAUCAUACCACAUGGCUCAUAGCAAAAUUGAAUCUAAUUAAAUACAUCUUCGAGAAACUUUAUUUGUCUGAAAAAAUUGCUAGAUGACAAGUAAUGCUCUCGAAAUAUGAUAUUAUAUAUGUAGCCAAAAGGUAAUAAAAAAAGGCGUUAUAGCAGAGUUUCUUGCAGAUCGUGCUAUUGAAGAAUAUGAAUCAAUAAGGUUAAAAUUUCUUGAUGAAGAUUUAAUGAUCAUUUCUCAACUGAAGAAGGGGAAACAUGAAGAAAAGUGUUGGAGAAUGUAUUUUGAUGGAGCUGCUAAUACCUUGAGACAUGAAAUUAGGGUGAUUCUGAUCUCUCCAAAAGAACAAUACUGCCUUGUAACAGCAAGGUUAAAUUUUAAUUGAACAAAUAACAUUGCUGAAUAUGAGGUAUGUGUCAUGGGCUUACAAAUUGCUAUAGAUAGAAGAGUAAAAGUAUUAAAAGUGUUUGGAGACUCAGCUCUAGUUAUAUGUUAGUUGAAAGAGGAAUGAGAGAUGAGAGAUUCAAAACUCGUUUCAUAUCAUAAGUAUAUUUUAGAAUUGAUAAAAAUAAUUUGAAGAUAUCUAAUUUGAUCAUUUACCUCGAUAAGAGAAUCUGAUUGUCGAUGCCUUGGCUACUCUGGUCGUAAUAAUUUGAAUUAAUGAUAAUACUGACAUUCAGCCCAUUAUGUUAGAUGUUAAGAAUAUGCCAGCUCAUUGCUCUAAUGUAGAAGAAGAAGAUAGAAAGCCCUACUAUUAUGAUAUCUUAUAGUAUAUUAAAGAUCAGUAAUACCCAGUUCAAGCAAUAAAAAAUGAUAAAAGAGUCAUCCGAAGAUUGGUUAUGAGUUUUUUCUUGGAUGGGGGUGUUCUGUACAAAAAAACCAUGAUCAAGUAUUACUAAAAUGCGUAAGUAAGACUGAAGCAAGAAAAAUCAUUGAAGAGGUACAUGAUGGAAUAUGUGAGGCACAUACCAGUGGAUACAUGAUGAUAAGAUAGAUCAUGAGAGCAAGACUAGUUGACAAUGGAGACUGAUUGCAUUAAUUAUGCUCGUAAGUGCCAUAAAUGCUAGAUAUAUGCUGAUAAGAUCUAUGCCCUGCCAUUUACUUUACAUGUUAUGGUACCAUCUUAGCCAUUCUCAAUAUGGGACAUAGAUGUCAUCAGUCCUAUCACGCCAAAGGCUUUUAAUGGGCAUAGAUUUAUUUUUGUGAUGAUAGAUUACUUCACAAAAUAGGUGGAGGUAGCAUCAUAUGCAAAUGUAACACGAUCUGUGAUUUGUAAGUUCAUAAAGGGAAAGAUUAUCUGUAGAUAUGGACUUUCGAAAAGAAUUAUUUUAGAUAAUGUCAAGAAUCUAAAUAGUAAGAUGAUGCAAGAAAUAUGUGCUCAAUACAAGAUCAAGCAUCAUAACUCGGUAUCAUACCAUCCGAAAAUGAAUGGAGCAGUGAAGGCAGCCAAUAAGAACAUAAAAAGAAUUCUUGAAAAGAUGACCGAGACUUAUAAAGAUUGACAUGAGAAGUUAGAUUGGAAGAAGUUGAAUGGAUUCAAGAACGCUAUGAAUAGUUAAAUUUCAUAGAAAAAAAGAGAUUAACUGUAUUAUGCCAUGGUCAGCCAUAUCAAAAAAGAAUGAUGAGGGCUCAUGACAAAAAGAUUUGACCUCAUUGCUUUCGAGAAAGAGAAUUGAUCUUGAAGAGAAUCCUCCCGACCCAGCACAGUAAUAGAGAAAAAGAGACUCUGAAUUGAGAAGGACCAUAUGUGAUAAACAGGUUUUCUCGGUUGGAGUGCUGAUACUAACUAAAAUAGAUGAAAAUGAUUUAUCUCAUCCUAUAAAUUUUGAUGCUGUGAAGAAGUAUUAUGUUUGAAAAAAAAAAGAGAAAAAAUGAAAUGAAAGAAAAAAAUGAAAAAAAGAAAAAAAAAGUGAAUGAAAAAGGAGGACUCAAGGCGAAAAUCCUAAAAUGGCGAUUUGAGUCAUAAGAGGUUUAUCUAAGUUGAAAAGCUAAAAAGGCAGCUUAGAUAAAGAGAAUACAACAUCAAAUUUAAAAAUUUGUUGGCAUGGAGACUAGCAAAUUCGAAGGAGCUCCAAGUUGUUAAGUGCAUUAGAUGGUUCAAUUUUCAGAAAAAUCUUGAAAUGUGUUAUCAUAAUUGUCCGAUUGUUCAUUUUUGGGCUUUGUUUCCGCAUACUUAUCCUUGUAAUUCUUUUUUGGCCAAAAUUUGCCAACAUUUUGCUAAUAAAAUAUAUUCUAUUUCACUCUUUGUGUACCUCUUCUGUUAAUUGUUUCCCAACCAUUCUUAUUCUUUUCUUUUAAUACCCUACAAUGGAAAAAAUGUGCAAAUGCAUUCUUACUUUUUGAGUUUGAAAUAAUGAUUGAUAAAUGAAUAAUGGCAUGAAAAAUUUUUACAUUACAUUGAAGAAGUCAAGAGUGAUAAAGGCAGAAUGAAGAUGUUUAGUUCCUAAUAAGGACAUUGAAUUUGGAAAGAGAUUUCUUACAGGAAAAAUGUGAGAAUGAGUGGAAGAGAUGAUUGAGAGCUACAAUAGCUCGAUCUUAGAAAAGCAGCGUAAUUUGGUCUUUGAAGAAUCAAGGUUUGGGGCCCAAGAAAAGAGCUUGAGAAACUUGAGUACCAUAUUUGAAUAAAAAUUAAUUAGCCAACAUUUGCAUAGCAUGCAUUAAAUUUCACAUGCAUUGCAUAGCAUAUACUACAUUCAAAAAAAUAUAGUGCAUAAAUUCAAGAAGCAGGGGUAUUCCAACAUCCCACAUAGAGAAGAUAGAUGUGAAGACAUUUUCAAAUUUGAGAAAAAGCUUGUCAGGUAAGUUUCUAAUCCUUGAAAUAGGAUGUCUCGUGGUAUUAGGGUUGAUUUGUAAGACCUUUGGGCAUAAUCUUCUGAAAUUCCUUCAAACACGAUUUUCAACUCCUUUGGAUAUGAUUGUCAAGAAACAAUUUAUUUUUCGAAGUUGUAAUGCCUCUGUUUAGAGGAAUAAUCUAUUUUCUGAAGUUGUUGAGCCUCUGCUUAGAGGAGCUUUAUUUAUUUUUUCAAAGUCGUUGAGCCCUUGCUCUCUGUUUAGAGGAGCUUUAUUUAUUUUUCUAAAAUCAUUGAGCCUCUAUUUAGAGGAGCUUUGUUUAUUUUUCUAAAAUCGUUGAGCCUCUGAUUAAAGAAGCCUUUUAUUUUUUAAAAGUCGUUAAGCCUUUGUUUAUAGGAGCUUUGUUUACUUUUCAAAAGUCGUUGAGCCUCUGUUUAGAGGAGCAAUUUAUUUUUUGAAGUUGUAAUGCCUCUGUUUAGAGGAGCAAUCUAUUUUUUGAAGUCGUUGAGCCUCUGUUUAGAGGAGUUUUAUUUAUUUUUCUGAAAUUGUUGAGCCUCUAUUUAGAGGAGCUUUAUUUAAUUUUUCAAAGUCGUUAAGCCUCUGCUUAGAGGAGCUUUAUUUAUUUUUCUAAAAUUGUUGACCUCUGUUUAGAAGAGCUUUGUUUAUUUUUCUGAAAUUGCUCAGCCUCUGAUUAGAGGAGCUUUGUUUAUAUUUUUCAAAGUUGUUGAGCCUUUGCUUAAAGGAGCUUUGAUCAAAUUUUAACAAGAAAAAAAAUGAAAAAAGAAAAGGCGAGUGGAGUCUUGAAUGGGUGUCUACGUCUUUACGCAAUUUCUGUUUCACAAAAAAUAUGCAAAGAGGGGCAGCUGUAGACACCUAAUUUGGUCCAUGCCUGGAUCAAUUGGGCCUAGUCCAAAUAGGUAGGGCCAUUUUUAUUUUUUAUUUUUUUUCUUAAAAAUUUUAUUAUUUAUUAAUAUACAUAUAUAUAUUUAUUAACAUAUAUUAUAUAUAUUUUUCUUAUUUAUUUUUAUUACUAUUUAUCUAUUAUUAUUAUUAUUUAUCUAUUAUUAUUAUUAUUUAUCUAUUAUAUUAUUUUAAUUUUUAUUUUUCUUUUUUCUUCUUAUUCGACUGGGAUUAGGAUAAAGAUUUAGAGUUCUACCGUAAAUUUGGGAUUCAAUCAAAGUCCAAAUUAGAUUCAAGGAUUGAAUCCCAAUCCAAGAGGGAACUGAGAUUGAUCAGAAAUUUUUCUGAUCAAUCCUUAUAAAUAGGUGCUAGAAUAGAACAGAAAAGGGACACACAGAGAAGAAACAGAAGCUAAAAAAGGGUUUUGGUGCGUUAGAACAACUUUAGGAAUCGGUGAGAAGUUUUUUUGAAUUUUAGGCAAUUUUUUUUUGGAAAUUUCUAGAAAAUUUCCAGAUUUCAGUUGAAUUUUCUGGCCAAGUUUAAAUUUUUCGGUGAAUUUUUUAGCACCGGUUGAAUUUCGGGCCAACUACCUAGUUUUCUGGCAACUAUUUUCAGAAACCGAUCAACUUUUCGACGAACUUUCAACGAAAAACCCAGAUUUUGAUGACAUUUUCCAGAAUCCGAUGAUAUUCAUCCGGAGUUCUUCGUCUAUUUAGAGAGAGGGAAGAGGAAAAUAAGGGAAGAGAGAGAGAAAAAAUGAGAGAUCUACUGAAAAACAGAGGUUAUAGCCUUUUAUACUUGCUGAAAAAUGACAUCGUUUUGGCGUUACUGUUCCUAAAGGAUCCGCGCGUUUUGAAAUCGGACGACUCGACCCGAGCGCUGACCCGUUUGUGACCCGAGUGCUAGUCGACCCUUGGAGCCAAGCCGUUCCAAGGUUGAUUUUUUUCAUUUUAUUUAUUUAUUUAUUUAUUAUUAUUAUUUAUUGAUUAAAUUAAAAUUAUUUAGUAUUUCUUAUUUUAUUUUAUUCUAUUUUUAUCUUUAUUUUUAUUUUUAUUUUAUUUAUUUUCUUUAAAUAAAAUUUUAAAAAAAUAGUUUUAAGGAAAAGUUGAAAGUAUCAAUUUUCCUUGAAAAUAAGUCUACAAAAAAAUAUAUUUUUAAGAAAAAAUUGAAAGUAUCAAUUUUUCUUGACAAUAAGUUUUUCUAAAAAAUAUUUUUGAGAAAAAGUUAAAAAUAUCAAUUUUCCUUAAAAAUAAGUUUUCUAAAAAAUAUUUUUGAGAACAAGUUAAAAGUAUCAAUUUUUCUUGAAAAUAAGUUUUCUAAAAAAUAUUUUUUGAAAAAAAAUUGAAAGUAUCAAUUUUUCUUGUACAAAAGCAAUGAGUUUUUUUUUUGAAAAGAAAAAGAUUUAUACUUAAAGCUGAAUCAUUUUUUUUCUUUUUUUGUUUUAUUUCUUUUCCUUUUUGUUUUUUUGAAUUUUCUUUAAUGUUAAAUAAUCCGACGAUAUAGCUUCUGUAAGUGAAACAAUAGUCUCAUUGUAUACUUUUGAGAUGAGAGAAUUUUUUUAAUUUUCUGCUAAAAGUAUUAGAGUCAAUUGAGAAUAAUUUCUAAUAGUUAAUUACUUGAUAAAUUUUUAAGGCUUAUUAGAUAACACAAAAUUAAGUUGGUACCAUCUUUCGAUGGGCGUUGUGAGGGUGCUAUAACCUUCUUUACACGUAACCGAACUCCUAAACCUUGUUCUGGUUAGUAUACCUGAACUUAUAUUUUUAGGGACCCUUAAGCUUAGGUGUUCCUAUAAAGGAUAAAUUCUUUAAGUGACCAAUCGCACCUACAUAAAAAAGAUCGACUACGACUCUUUAAGUAAAUAUCUAACGAUGUAUCCUUAGAUCUAUACGUUAUGAUAAUAACAUUAAAAAAAUUAAGAGAAUUAACACAUCAUACCAUCAAAAUAUUGAUCACCAAAUUAAGGACGAGCUCCUUUUAUUUAUUGAUAUUGAUAUUAUUCCAGAUCAACAAGGUAAAUAUCUCACAUACAUAUAUGAUGAUAUAUAUGUACUAGCAGCAGAUUUUUUUUUUAUUUUAAUAAUUAUAAUAAUGUGAUUGAUAAUUGCUUUUCUUUCAUAAUUAAUUAUUAAAGUGCCUAAGCAAAGGGCCUUUGAUUGUAGCAGUCGAGGUUGUUUCCGUAGCUCACUUUCAAUAUGUCACAAUAUCUCCUAUAGAAUCCGAUGCGAUCCUCAACCUGAGGGUUAGGUCCUUUGCCGCAUUCGAUGCCACCAUUGAUGAUGUUGGUAAUGACCCCAUAUCCAGGGACCCGACCGGCGGCCGUGUCUUCGGCGGAUGGCUUCCACUGACCACUAAUGACAUCGUGACACGAAGGUUUUGGUGACUGUGGUGUCAUCCAGAACCAAAGAGCUGUCUUGAAAGAAAUGGUCGGGUCCCUUGCCACCGCAUCGGGGUCGUUCAGCAGAUCAACGUUUAUUGCAUUUCCUGCUGGACCAUAGUUGUAGUUGCUGCCAAAGUCAAGGUCAAGGUCAAGUCAAGAUAUAGUAAGGAUUUUCAUUUUUCAACAAGCAAUUUUCCCCCCAUAUUCCCAGCUUUUUAAUCCUAUCAUAUUUUAUUAUUUUAAGUGUAAAAUAUGUUUUUAAAUUCAACGAACUUUCUAUUAAAAAGAUUAAACACACUAUGCUUAUGUUUGUGAUUAGUCAAUAUUUAUGCAUGGAAAAUGAAAACCAAAUGAGCUAUAUAUGCUUGUUGUUUAACAAAAAUGCCUUAAUAGUAAUUUUCUUGGGUCACAACUCUGAAUCUAGUUAAUUCACUCCAAACAAGUACACUUACUAUGAGAUCUGGAUUGGACCACGGCCAAAAUAUUUUUUACCCGGUGCACAAGGCCAUUGUUGACUUGCAACACAGUAAUCUCCAGGAUUGCCUUGUUCCUGAACGAAGCAAUAUCCCCAUGCGUAUGGACCAUCCGGUGCAGUUGCCCACCCACCUAUACAAGAAUUGUGAAGUACCCCUUUAAUUAUGCCGUCCAUUAACUAUUUGCCAACUAAAUAUUAAUGUCUGCCAACCAUUAACCACGCAUGCAAGAGUAAAGUUAUAGAGAUAAUAGAGACAAUCAAGAAGUUAAUUUUUUUUAAUGAGAAAAAUGAACCUGUAGUUUCGUGGGAAGUUUGAGCCAAGAACGCAGCAAUUUCUCUUUUACGAGUAUCAACGUCGCCUGUGGUUCCGAAAGCGCCAAAGGAGUUGGCAGCGGCAAUGAAAGCAUCGUAUGUAUAGAAACCAUUGCCAGGGCAGUUAGCAUCGUUACGAUGCUUUAAUAUCUCAUUGAACAGGUCGCGGCUGAUAAGCGGACUGAUAUCAGCCAAGCCCCUUAAUGCAGAUGCCAAAAUGAACAGAAUCAGAGCCAAGAACCUCAUUUUUUUUUCUGCUUGGCUAGCUACUGAAGUGUUUUAUGCGUGGGAUGUGGAGUCCCAUGUGAAGGAUCAGGCUGGUUUUUAUAGAGUGGGUCAGGAGAG
This 29806-nucleotide long non-coding RNA is filed under the name Durio zibethinus. Its description in RNAcentral is "long non-coding RNA (DZIB_LNC002225)". The record is from RNAcentral. Lineage: Eukaryota; Viridiplantae; Streptophyta; Magnoliopsida; Malvales; Malvaceae.